GGGAGACUCCUCACCCAGGCCCUCCUGAGGCGCCCCCUGAUUCUGUCACAUGCCCUAUUCUGUCUUCAGAGCUCCUCUCCUUUGCCCGUUUGUCUCCAGACGUUUCUCCACCCCCACACAUAAAUCCCAGAGGGGCAGGCUGCUAUGCCCCCAGGGCCGUAGGGAAAAUACGCAUCAUUAAUUUAUGCCAGCAGUAGGGGAGCGAAGGCAGUCAUGUAAACCUCAAAAUGAGGCCCACUCCAGAGACCCCAUCAGCUUGGCCACGAGGAAGCCAAACCCGCCUCGUGUUCCUCGGUCCCCACCCCUGUCCCCGCCCCAAGAGACGUGCGGGUGCUCCAGGCUGGGCAUCUGUGCAUCUGCAGCCCCCUCACUGCCGUCUCGCCUUCUCCUCCUGCCCUGUUCAGAGCCCUCCCCCCUUGGCCUCGCCUCUUCGCCGGCGCACUGGCUGGAACGACAGCCGCUUCACUGACCUACCCCCUGGACCUGGUCAGAGCGCGGAUGGCCGUAACCCCGAAGGAAAUGUACAGCAACAUCUUUCAUGUCUUCAUCCGCAUCUCGAGAGAAGAGGGGCUGAAGACUCUCUACCAUGGAUUUAUGCCCACCGUGCUGGGGGUCAUUCCGUAUGCUGGCCUGAGCUUCUUCACCUAUGAGACGCUCAAGAGCUUGCACAGAGAGUACAGCGGCCGCCGGCAGCCCUACCCCUUCGAGCGCAUGAUAUUCGGCGCCUGCGCUGGCCUCAUCGGGCAGUCCG
Molecule: small RNA, 751 nt
Filed under: Pongo abelii (Sumatran orangutan)
Lineage: Eukaryota; Metazoa; Chordata; Mammalia; Primates; Hominidae
Description: retained intron
Source: RNAcentral